Bombus impatiens (common eastern bumble bee) is the source of this 3163-nucleotide long non-coding RNA. RefSeq lists it as uncharacterized. The transcript has 2 exons. NCBI's taxonomy places the organism in Eukaryota, Metazoa, Arthropoda, Insecta, Hymenoptera, Apidae. The record is from RefSeq and is a predicted model, not a curated record.
CAUACUGGUAACUUUUGUUGUAAUAGAAGACAAUGAACACUAAGUACCAGAGAAAUUUUUCAAAAUAUUAAAUGAUUAAACAAUAUUAAUUUUCAAGUAUUCUACUUACGAAUACUUGAACCCCUUAUAUAUGAUUCCAGUAUUUUUGGUUACCGAUUACCAUUAUCUACGUGAGAUAUUUUUUGUUGCCGACAGCCAUUAUGGCAGAAUCAUUUUUUGGCUGUCGAUAACUAUUAUUCGUGACGGAGUUAUUUUUAGUCACCAAUGAUCAUUUUUCAUGACUGAGGGUUUUUGGUUACUCCUAACCAUUAUAGUUUUGGUUACUGAUACCUAUUAUGUAAGAAAGCAUUUUUUUAUCGCUGAUAACAAUUAUCAACGACAUAAUUUCUUGCUACCGAUAAUCAUCAUAAAUUAGAGAAUUUCUUUGGUGACUAAUAACCGUUAUUUUUGGGGAAUUUCUUUUUGGCUGCUGAUAACCAUUAUCAAAGACGGAACUUUUUUUAGGUACCGAUAAUCAUUAUCGAUGACGGGAUUUUUUCGUUACCCCAUUACCAAUUGUCGAUAACCCGAAUUUUGUUUUAGCAACCAUUAUCAAUGGCGAAAAAUCGUUUUGGUUGAUAAGCAAAGAUUUUUAUUGUUUAUCAUGAUUAUUCGUAAUCAAAUUGUUUUAAUUGAAUAAGUCUUAUAGCAUAACUUUUUAAACUUGUGUUUUUCCCCUUUUACCCGCACUCUCAAACGAUAACAAUUCUCCAUAUUUGCGCAUUGUUGCUUGUUCAGUUGAUACGACUUCUUGUUUUUAAAUUAUCCAAUGGCCGUUAGGAAAUAUAGAAUAUUUUUGUAAUAAGAAGGUAAAACGUCCAAGUAUAUUUUAUAACACUUCCAGGGCCUUCAUAAAGCUUGCCGCUAUCGUGUUUAAAACAUAGUAUCGAGUUUCAUGUCCGAAAUAAAUGCCAGCAAUUUAUGUCACAAUUUUACUCAAAAUUCAACAGUCUAAAAAGCUCAGACAGUACAUACUUUUUGUUGCUCUCAAGCUUAAAUUUAUAGAAAAUUAUUAACACUGGGAAAUAUUGAAACGUUUCAAACGAUACAGGUAAAGAAAAGCUGCUCGAUUACUUAUCAACAGAGUAUAUAUUAUGCAAAGUUCUCGAUUACAUAAUGCAAUUUUUUACGAUAAUGUUUCGAAAGACGUUCGCUUGCUACGAUUUAGAGAAUUGUUUGAAGUUAGUAACCCCUCCCACCAAAUCACACCAAACAUCCCAAAGGAGAUAAGAGAGAAGCUUAUAGCAGAGACAAACACAGAAUCUUGAAAUUCGAUCCGAUGUACGAGAGAAUCGAAGUAGCUGCAGACACGCAAACGUGAAGAUUAUAUCCAGUUACAGUUACCAACACGUAUAAAUAAUAUAGAGCAGCUUGGACUAAUUGGAUAGGAAGAAAUUAGCUUAACCGGUAAAUGUCGCGCUGAACGUGCAGAUUGCACAUUAUAACGGAAUAUGCCGGAGUACUAUUAAUAACCAAAGAAGAACAAGUGAAAUCAAUAUACGUAUUGCUUUACACAAAUAAUGCUAAAAUUAAAAGUUCUGCUUAAGUAAACUUAAAUGAGAAUUUAAAAUGAGAAAAAUCUCUGAGGACACCUAGAUAAGACUGCGAUAGACGGAAGCUCGUAGAAGGCUAUUAUUGUGUUAUUAAUGACUCAUCGAACACGAAACGAGGAUAUCUAAGAUUUAAUUUUUGAUAAAACCCUAUUGAUGAAAAGUCAAAUUGCAAUGUUUCUUAUUACAUUCUUACGUAACAGUAUUUACAUUUGUAUUCUUUUCAGCGGAGAACAGAUCAAACGGAUUAUUAUUCUAUUGACUUUCAACAAUGCUUAUUUAUAAUUUAUAAACAGCAACACAUCGUGUAGAUAUGUCUCACGUGUUCUCAUUGUCACUCGUCCUUGCUCUCGGAAAACUUGUAAGCAAUUUUCAAGUCUUAUUAAGAAGAAUCACGAAUUUUACACUUUUUAAAAGAAAUUACUCUUGAAAUGUUGGCAAUGGCAAGAGGAAUAAAUCUUCAUGUGUUAACCGCAAUUUAUGAAUAAUAAUUUAUGAUUUAGCUGUAUGACUUUGAACUUCGGACAUCGAUUUACGAGGAGAACGAGUGUUAUUAAAAAGAAUUAUUCUUAUUCUCUACGUUUUCUAAUUUUCUAAUUAUUAUUGUUACUCUCUGCAUUUUCCUAAUUGUUUAAACAAUUUUCAACAUUGUCACAGACUUCAAAAUUGUAAGUGUACUCUUAAACUAGUUUUUUGUGACUCUAUAUGAAAUAACUUGCUGUCAUAAAAUUGUCCUAGUGUUUGAAAAGAGUGAACAUUUGCAGAAGUUUUAUGUUUUGAUCCAGGAAAUUCAGAGGAAAGACAAGAUGAGAACGCUACAGAAAGAAUUGCUCUAAAAUACUAUAUGCACCACUGGUGUUGCAUUCACAAAAAAUGUUGUGUCUAGCGCCAAUUGAAUUAUCUUAAAAUAAACUUUCAAAACUUGACAUGAAAAGUGUAAAAAAGAUGCACAAUGGGGCGCAUAAAUUGCUGUUAAUUGUUGUUAACCAAAUAAUAGGUCUUCCAUCUCACUCAAAUACUAAUGCUUCCUCCUCCUCCAGUGAAAAUACACUUUGGAAAGGUUCUAAACUAGUUCUCAACAACUGUCGAGGACUUUCUCGACAGAAACCCACCUUCCUGUCCAAUGCAGUUUUCAAGACAUUAAAAGCUGCAACUGCUUUACGACAGCCCAUUGCUUCCGUGCAGUUACUUCAACAGUCAUCCGCGUUCAUUCUCCGGUCCAACAUUGUCGCUCUGUCCUCCAUCCGUACGUUCAUUUUAUCUAAAAGUUAGCGUCCACCGAAAUGUCCCAUCUUUCCCCAAAUGUUACAUCUAAUUAAUGAGACUAAUCGAACGACAGUGUGUUCAUCUGCUUGAGAAUAGUCAAAAGAUGACGAUCGUUGAGGUUAGGUUGGAGUUAGGUUGAGGUUAGGUUGUCUCCAUGGCGGGCGGUAGUGGAAUGGCGCCCAGAAGUGGAACUGCAGUCACAGCCUGGUCAAUAUAACUCGACUCAUAACUUUUUUGUCGGACAUUACUCUGCUGUUCUCGCAGCAACAGAGUGUCCAUGAGGAUUUCUCUACGUUAAAAAAGAAAAA